GACGAACGCUGGCGGCGUGCUUAACACAUGCAAGUCGAGCGGUAAGGCCCUUUCGGGGGUACACGAGCGGCGAACGGGUGAGUAACACGUGGGUGACCUGCCCUCAGCUCUGGGAUAAGCCUGGGAAACUGGGUCUAAUACCGGAUAUGACUGCGCAUCGCAUGGUGUGUGGUGGAAAGUGUGUUCUUGGUUGAGCGCUUCGGCUGGGGAUGGGCCCGCGGCCUAUCAGCUUGUUGGUGGGGUGAUGGCCUACCAAGGCGACGACGGGUAGCCGGCC
This 277-nucleotide ribosomal RNA is filed under the name uncultured bacterium. RNAcentral describes it as "partial 16S ribosomal RNA". It matches the Rfam family "Bacterial small subunit ribosomal RNA", at positions 28 to 292 of the family's 1533-position model. The record is from RNAcentral.